CCUACGGGUGGCUGCAGUGGGGAAUAUUGGACAAUGGGCGAAAGCCUGAUCCAGCAAUACCGCGUGUGUGAAGAAGGCCUGAGGGUUGUAAAGCACUUUCAAUGGGAAGGAAUACCUACCGGCUAAUACCCGGUAGACUGACAUUACCCAUACAAGAAGCACCGGCUAACUCCGUGCCAGCAGCCGCGGUAGUACGGAGGGUGCAAGCGUUAGUCGGAAUUACUGGGCGUAGGCCUGGCCAGGCAGAUGUGAAAGCCCUGGGCUUAACCUGGGAACUGCAUUUGAUACUGGCAGGCUAGAGUUUAGUAGAGGGGAGUGGAAUUUCAGGUGUAGCGGUGAAAUGCGUAGAGAUCUGAAGGAACACCAGUGGCGAAGGCGGCUCCCUGGACUAAAACUGACGCUGAGGUACGAAAGCGUGGGUAGCAAACAGGAUUAGAUACCCGUGUAGUC
This 450-nucleotide ribosomal RNA is filed under the name uncultured bacterium. RNAcentral's name for it is "partial 16S ribosomal RNA". It matches the Rfam family "Bacterial small subunit ribosomal RNA", at positions 338 to 795 of the family's 1533-position model. The record is from RNAcentral.